GCUCGGCCAGUGGAGGGAAGUCCCCCAGCGCAGACCGCGUCUCCGCCCGCGUCCCUGAGAAAUGGAGUGCAAGUUACUGCCCGCAGAGAAGGAGGAGUUGGUGGCCUGGGGCUUCUGGAAGAGAAGGUUUGUAACCACCGCCGGAAGGAAGGGGAGAAGGAACCAACCAGACCAGCAGGACUGGGAAGCGUGGGGCCACCCGUCUGCGCUUGGAGACGGGCCACUGCUCCCUGCUGUCAGCAUGCCCUCCAGUACUCAGCCACCUUCUCGUGAAGCCUGGGAUGUGAUUCUUCCUCCUGCAACUCUUUCCUGAGGGCACAGGGUGAGCAUCAACAGCAGCUUCUGCAGGAAAGUUGAGCCCGUGCAGGCAUCUCAGCUGCCCCCAUCAAGACUCCGUCUGGGCCCUGAGGCCAUCCCACCAUGGCUCCUGGCCUAGUACCAGCAUCUCCUGCAGGUGCGAGUUCUUUUAGGAACAAAGAAACAAAAGAAUGAGGCUCUAAGGUAGAAUUUCAGGCAGGACAGCUGCUGGACUUAAGAUUUUAGAGAGGGAGUGACCCCAUGGACUAGCCCACCAGGCUCCUCUGUCCAUGGGAUUUUUCAGGCAAGAAUACUGGAGUCAGUUGCCAUUUCCUUCUCCAGGGGAUCUUCCCGACCCAGGGAUUGAACCCAUUUCCUGCGUCUCCUGCGUUGGCAGGCAGAUUCUUUACCACUGAGUCACCUGGGAAGCUCUCCUUUAAGUUCAUUGCCUUCAAUACUGCUACCAGAAAGCCACAUUCUCUUUGGCUGGGGGAGAAUGGAUACAUGUAUAUAUGGCUGAAUCCCUUGUUGUUCACCUGAAAGUGUCCCAGCACUGUUCAUUGGCUAUACCCCAAUAC
This is a long non-coding RNA of Bos taurus (domestic cattle), 875 nucleotides long. The record is from Ensembl. Lineage: Eukaryota; Metazoa; Chordata; Mammalia; Artiodactyla; Bovidae.